AGUGAACGCUGGCGGUAGGCCUAAUACAUGCAAGUCGAACGGACGCACAGUAAGCUUUUGCCUUUACGGGUGGCGAGUGGCGGGCGGGUGAGGCAUACAUCGCCAUCUUCUUUUUCGUGGGGGAUCACGUAGGGCCACUUAUGCUACUACCGCAUAUGAUCUACCGCUUAAAGCAGUAGUUCUUCACACUUUGCGUGUCUCUAUGAGCUGAUUCCGGAUGAGCUAGUUGGGGGGGUAAAGGCACACCAAGGCGACGAUCCGUAGCUGAGCGGAGAGGAUGAUCGGCCACACUGGAACUGAGACACGGUCCAGACUCCUACGGGAGGCAGCAGUGGGGAAUAUUGGGCAAUGGGCGAAAGCCUGACGCAGCAACGCCGCGUGAGUGAAGAAGGCCUUCGGAUUGUAAAGCCCUGUUAUUAGGGAAGAAAAAAAGCGGAAGAAAACCCCGAUGUUUUGACGGUACCUAAUGAGAAAGCAACGGCUAACUACGUG
RNAcentral lists this ribosomal RNA (492 nucleotides) under uncultured bacterium. RNAcentral's name for it is "partial 16S ribosomal RNA". It matches the Rfam family "Bacterial small subunit ribosomal RNA", at positions 29 to 507 of the family's 1533-position model. The record is from RNAcentral.